CCCUUUGAUACUCUGGGCGGCACGCGCGCUACAAUGGAUAACUUAACGCGUUACAUGUCCGAAAGGAUGUAUGCAAAUCACAAAUGUUAUGUCUCGAGUGGGAUAGUUUACUGCAAUUAUAGACUUGAACUAGGAAUCCCUUGUAGGUACACUGAAGCAUAGUGUACCGAAUACGUCCCUGCCGUUUGUACACACCGCCCGUCGUUUCUUCCGACUGAUACUCAUUGUGAAUUGCGGGGAUAACGUUGUUGAAAACCGUUGUAAAUGCUGGGUAUUGGAGGAAGAAAAAGUCGUAACA
RNAcentral lists this ribosomal RNA (298 nucleotides) under uncultured eukaryote. Its description in RNAcentral is "partial 18S ribosomal RNA". It matches the Rfam family "Eukaryotic small subunit ribosomal RNA", at positions 1470 to 1796 of the family's 1831-position model. The record is from RNAcentral.